AUAUGUUUGAUUCAGGAGAGGAUGACUGGAAGGAAACUUGGGACAGGAACCAGGCAUAGUGGAUUGUGGUAUAUGGAUCGUGAUGUGUCUAGGUCUGGUGCUAGUCCUAUUUUGGCUGUACUAGUUGGAGUAAGUGAGACAAUGGCGAUGAUCCAUCACUGUCGCACGGGGCAUAUGGCUUUUGAUAAGAUGAGUAAGAUGUUUCCGGAUGUAAUGCGUGGAGUAGACAAGAGUAAGCUUAUGUGUGAUGCAUGUGAAUAUGCAAAGCACACAAGAAUCUCAUAUUUGAGUAAGGGGCUAAGGAGUAUAUCCCCGUUUAUGCUAAUUCACUCUGAUGUGUGGACAUGUCCUGUUGUUUCUGUUAGGAAUGAAAUAUUUUGUGACAUUUAUAGACUGCCACACUCGCAUGACUUGGGUGUACCUCAUGCGACAUAA
RNAcentral lists this ribosomal RNA (435 nucleotides) under Triticum aestivum (bread wheat). RNAcentral describes it as "partial small subunit ribosomal RNA". Lineage: Eukaryota; Viridiplantae; Streptophyta; Magnoliopsida; Poales; Poaceae. The record is from RNAcentral.